GGGGAUGUAGCUCAGAUGGUAGAGCGCUCGCUUAGCAUGCGAGAGGUACCCCGAUACCCCGCAUCUCCA
Non-coding RNA from Brassica napus (rape), 69 nucleotides. The record is from Rfam. Lineage: Eukaryota; Viridiplantae; Streptophyta; Magnoliopsida; Brassicales; Brassicaceae.